Lentithecium fluviatile CBS 122367 is the source of this 86-nucleotide non-coding RNA. The record is from the annotation of a GenBank genome assembly. NCBI's taxonomy places the organism in Eukaryota, Fungi, Ascomycota, Dothideomycetes, Pleosporales, Lentitheciaceae.
CUCCCCUUGGUGUAGUUGGUUCAUCACGUUCGACUGUAAUAUCAUUGCUCAUCGAAAGGUCCCCAGUUCGAUUCUGGUAUGUCAUA